AACCGCCAUCGUUGGAGGGUAGGAGGAGCUUUCGACACAAACAGCUGCAAUCUCACAGCUCGCAGCCUGGAACUAGAGCCACUCCCUGCAAAGGGUACAGAGCCUGGGCUUGGAAGGGAGCGGACAAGGAGGACUGACCAUGCUGGGGUUUCAGCGUGCCUUCAGGUUGCUCCAUGCAACAAUGAGGAAUCAGAUUGUUCCCAGAGGGAACUAUAUGUCCAAACCACCAGAGGAAAUACUCACUCCAGCUGACCAAGCCAUUGGACUAAUUGUGAUGUUCUCGGUCUUCCUGAUUCCAUCAGGCUGGAUUCUAGCACACAUUCAGGACUACAAAGCCCACCAGAAUGAGUGAAGGACAGGGAGGAGGAACCUUUUCCAAGCCCAGAGCCAAAGGAUGGGAAUGAAGACUAUUGAACAGAUCCUUUCACAGGAAGCUGCUCUUUUAUAAUUAAAGCAUUAUGAAAAAAACCCA
Molecule: long non-coding RNA, 472 nt
Organism: Alligator sinensis (Chinese alligator)
Lineage: Eukaryota; Metazoa; Chordata; Crocodylia; Alligatoridae
Exons: 2
Source: RefSeq, a predicted model, not a curated record